AUUCAAACAGGCUACUGCUAUUAAGGAUUGCACAACUUCUGGGCAAGGCAGAGGUGGGUUUGGCUUUUUAAAAAUUUUUUCAGCCUGUCCUCAUGGAACUACAUAUUCUUUUCUAAGAACUUUUCAUCCUAACCUCCCUACUCACAUCUUCUAAGUGUCUCUGCUCUGGUGGGAAUGUGAUGGACAACACAGAGCCAUCUCAGAAGCCUCUGUGGCCACCACCAGGCCGGCCAGGGUGCAGGGGGCCACUCCCUGGGCAGCCAUAGGGUUCUCAGCAAGGUGCAUUCGUCGUCCCUGCUGAGAAUCUGAUGGGGCAGCAUUUUUUUUUUUAAUUAAAUGCAAGCUGAGUCAUUUCAACCUGCAACCUUCAGGUAACAGGAGUUACCCAAGCUCCAGGAAUUAUGAUUGUGGGGUAAACCCAUUCUCUUGUUUUCUUGCGGUUCUAUUUUAUAACGCACUAGAGGAGACAGAGACGUCAUUGCUUCACCCAGGGCAAGAGGACAAAGGAGGAUGCAUGGAAAUACAAACAGCCCUUCUCCUCCAGGCCAUACCGACUGUCCAACUAGCAACAGACUUCACCUGGUUUUGGAGCAAUCUGAAUUUGGAAUAUGCCAGAGAAAACUUCUAUCAGGCAAGAUGGAAGACUCCUAGGAUAGGUCUCUCUCAUGGAGGGAUUGGCACGAUGGUAAGAGUCCAGUGGAUGGAAAAGGCCUCCUCCUUAAAGAUGGUGAUGGAAACGAGCACUGCACAGGGAAACACAAAUCAGGUCCCCUGAAAUCCAGCCCAACCUGGCCAGACCCUCCAGUGCCCAUCAGGGCUUAUGAACAGGGUGCUUCAGUGUCUUUGUUAGGGGUGGUUAAAAAGGAGCACGUGCUUAUAGGGGAUGCUGCUGAGCUCCAUGAUUUUGACUUCCUGUCUAACCUGUUGAUGCUACAAAACUCUUUUAAAAACAGUUACCAUGGGAACUUUUCCCUAGCAAGCAUUCUUCAAGAAACGUUACAGGUGCUGGUGAAUUCAAUGCCCUUGGUGUCAAUAAGCUUUUGCUGAGUCUUAGAAUGUGUGGCUUGAACUGAGAGGACUUUCAAACAGAUAAUGCGAAGUUUCCAAUGCAAAUGUCUUCGGGGUUAAGUGUCAGUGAAGUGCAGUGGAAGGUAGGGGGAUAAAAUGAUCUCAGUGUAUAUGGAGGCCCCACUUAAGCAUUCAAAAAAUUCUAUAUACAGUGUUUUCAAUGUAUUAUGUAUCAGCAAAACAAAAUACCCCAUAGGGCUAUAAUCAGCUCAGGGGGUCACCUCAGCAAGAGAUGCUCUGGCUAUCACUCCUACUACGGGAUUUCCUCUCUCAUCAGAACCAGUAGGUGGUCAAAACCACAAUAAUGCAUAAAUGAAGGCAGGGAAUUGGGUAUCCAAUGUGAGCAACUGAAAAGGUGCCAUGUAUUAGCUAUUUGCCAUUAUGGUUCUGCAAGUGCUCAGAUGACUCAUAAAAUGACCAGAACAAAA
Molecule: long non-coding RNA, 1496 nt
Filed under: Homo sapiens (human)
Lineage: Eukaryota; Metazoa; Chordata; Mammalia; Primates; Hominidae
Description: non-protein coding EGOT:15
Source: RNAcentral